Long non-coding RNA from Dipodomys ordii (Ord's kangaroo rat), 477 nucleotides. RefSeq lists it as uncharacterized. Lineage: Eukaryota; Metazoa; Chordata; Mammalia; Rodentia; Heteromyidae. The transcript is spliced from 3 exons. The record is from RefSeq and is a predicted model, not a curated record.
UCUAAAGAGGGGUCCUGGCAGGCCUGGGCAGCAGCCACACUGACCAAUCUCCAGAAAACCAUUCCAGAAAAACAACAACAAACUUCCAAUGGAGUUCAUCUGUUGUACACUGGAAAGGCAGAAUUCAUAGUUUCCCAGCAAGUCAUAAAAAAGAUGAAACCAGCGUCCCCUGUGGGGCUUUGCAGUUAGACCCAAGGAUGGCUCCAGAGAUGUCUCUGAGGUGGAGGUACACCAGAUACAUUCCAGCCAGGAUGAACUUGCUCUUGUUUUCACCCCAAAAUAAACCCCCUCUUUCUGGCCCAAAUUGAGAGGAUCCACUGGUUUUGAAGCCAUGCAGGACUACACCGCCACCACAUUCAGCCACAAGGAACAUGGCUGUUGGCAGAUCUCCUGACCAGAAUUUGGGAUUUUCCCACAAGAUUCCUAUAUGUUAAACGUGAGCCAGGGUUAACACUUAAAAACAAACAAAAAUCACUA